RNAcentral lists this transfer RNA (63 nucleotides) under Impressosora ruficollis. RNAcentral's name for it is "Eutrapela ruficollis tRNA-His". Lineage: Eukaryota; Metazoa; Arthropoda; Insecta; Coleoptera; Tenebrionidae. The record is from RNAcentral.
AUUUAAAUAGUUUAAUUAAAAUAUUGAUUUGUGGAAUCAAUGAUACAUAUAUUGUUUUAGAUA